This 253-nucleotide ribosomal RNA is filed under the name uncultured prokaryote. RNAcentral's name for it is "partial 16S ribosomal RNA". It matches the Rfam family "Bacterial small subunit ribosomal RNA", at positions 525 to 777 of the family's 1533-position model. The record is from RNAcentral.
ACGAAGGGUGCAAACGUUGCUCGGAAUUAUUGGGCGUAAAGGGCGCGUAGGCGGCUUGGCAAGUGACGGGUGAAAUCCCUCGGCUUAACCGAGGAACUGCCUGUCAGACUGCUUUGCUUGAGUCCGGGAGAGGUGAGCGGAAUUCCCAGUGUAGCGGUGAAAUGCGUAGAUAUUGGGAGGAACACCAGUGGCGAAGGCGGCUCACUGGACCGGAACUGACGCUGAGGCGCGAAAGCGUGGGGAGCAAACAGGA